UACGAAGGGGGCUAGCGUUGCUCGGAAUCACUGGGCGUAAAGGGUGCGUAGGCGGGUCUUUAAGUCAGGGGUGAAAUCCUGGAGCUCAACUCCAGAACUGCCUUUGAUACUGAGGAUCUUGAGUUCGGGAGAGGUGAGUGGAACUGCGAGUGUAGAGGUGAAAUUCGUAGAUAUUCGCAAGAACACCAGUGGCGAAGGCGGCU
RNAcentral lists this ribosomal RNA (203 nucleotides) under uncultured bacterium. Its description in RNAcentral is "partial 16S ribosomal RNA". It matches the Rfam family "Bacterial small subunit ribosomal RNA", at positions 524 to 726 of the family's 1533-position model. The record is from RNAcentral.